ACAACUGAGGGAAACUUCAGCUAAAACCGGAUACGCCCUGAGGGGGAAAGUUACGCCGAAAGAUCGGCCCGCGUCAGAUUAGGUAGUUGGUGGGGUAAAGGCCUACCAAGCCGAUGAUCUGUAGGUGGUCUGAGAGGAUGAUCACCCACACUGGGACUGAGACACGGCCCAGACUCCUACGGGAGGCAGCAGUGGGGAAUAUUGGACAAUGGGCGCAAGCCUGAUCCAGCCAUGCCGCGUGGAUGAAGAAGGCCCUAGGGUUGUAAAGUCCUUUCGACGGAGACGAUAAUGACGGUAUCCGUAGAAGAAGCCCCGGCUAAUUUCGUGCCAGCAGCCGCGGUAAUACGGGGGGAACGAGCGUUGUUCGGAUUUACUGGGCGUAAAGGGCACGCAGGCGGGAAGACAAGUCAGAUGUGAAACCCCGAAGCUUAACUCCGGGCCUGCAUUUGAAACUGUUUUUCUUGAGUACGGGAGAGGAUGAUAGAAUUCUUGGUGUAGCGGUGAAAUGCGUAGAUAUCAAGAGGAAUACCGGUGGCGAAGGCGGUCAUCUGGCCCGAUACUGACGCUCAGGUGCGAAGGCCGGGGGAGCAAACAGGAUUAGAUACCCUGGUAGUCCCGGCAGUAAACCAUGGAUACUAGGUGUUGGCGGUAUCGACUCCGCCAGUGCCGCAGCUAACGCAUUAAGUAUCCCGCCUGGGGAGUACGCUCGCAAGAGUGAACUCAAAGGAAUUGACGGGGGCCCGCACAAGCAGUGGAGUAUGUGGUUUAAUUCGACGCAACGCGAAGAACCUUACCUGGGUUUGACAUGCAGGGGACCGCUUCAGAGAUG
RNAcentral lists this ribosomal RNA (829 nucleotides) under uncultured Pseudomonadota bacterium. Its description in RNAcentral is "bacterial SSU rRNA". It matches the Rfam family "Bacterial small subunit ribosomal RNA", at positions 143 to 1008 of the family's 1533-position model. Lineage: Bacteria; Pseudomonadati; Pseudomonadota. The record is from RNAcentral.